This 340-nucleotide transfer-messenger RNA is filed under the name Sphingomonas japonica. It matches the Rfam family "Alphaproteobacteria transfer-messenger RNA". From Rfam's summary of the family: Bacterial tmRNA, also known as 10Sa RNA or SsrA, is named for its dual tRNA and mRNA-like properties. Its role is to liberate the mRNA from a stalled ribosome. Lineage: Bacteria; Pseudomonadati; Pseudomonadota; Alphaproteobacteria; Sphingomonadales; Sphingomonadaceae. The record is from RNAcentral.
CACCUUUUCUUUCGCCGCACGAUCGCUAUAUCCAAGGGGUCGGGCUUGCCCGGCUAUGGCGAUAAAUUGCGGCGUGUCAUAGGCGCAGCGGACCCGGGGGCAGUACCCGGCGGCUCCACCACCAACCGCCCGAAACGGCGGAUGAUGACGGGGCCGAACCAGGAUCGACGUGUGUUGAAAAGCGCAGCUUUCGCUCGGAAUGGGACCACCGCAACGGCCCAUUACACAAGUGCCAAUGACAAUGAAGCACUCGCAAUUGCGGCCUAAUUCUGGAUCUCACGAUCUAGGUUAGAACGACAAAAGCGCGGUUGAGCGCACCGGGCAACAGAAGCGCCGCGGC